UACGUACUGUGCGAACGUUAUUCGGAAUCACUGGGCUUAAAGGGUGUGUAGGCGGCCGGCUAAGUAGGGUGUGAAAGGCCUCGGCUCAACCGAGGCACUGCGCUCUAAACUGACCGGCUUGAGUGAGAUAGGGGUGUGCGGAACUUCCAGUGGAGCGGUGAAAUGUGUUGAUAUUGGAAGGAACGCCGGUGGCGAAAGCGGCACACUGGGUCUUGUCUGACGCUGAGACACGAAAGCCAGGGGAGCGAACGGG
This 253-nucleotide ribosomal RNA is filed under the name uncultured bacterium. RNAcentral describes it as "partial 16S ribosomal RNA". It matches the Rfam family "Bacterial small subunit ribosomal RNA", at positions 524 to 776 of the family's 1533-position model. The record is from RNAcentral.